RNAcentral lists this ribosomal RNA (277 nucleotides) under uncultured bacterium. RNAcentral's name for it is "partial 16S ribosomal RNA". It matches the Rfam family "Bacterial small subunit ribosomal RNA", at positions 29 to 293 of the family's 1533-position model. The record is from RNAcentral.
AGCGAACGCUGGCGGCGUGCUUAACACAUGCAAGUCGAGUGCGCAGUUCUCUGUAGCAAUACAGGGGAUGGGCGCACGGCGCACGGGUGCGUAACACGUGGGCAAUCUGCCCUCGGAUGGGGGAUAACUCGCCGAAAGGCGAGCUAAUACCGCAUGACAUUCCGAAGACUCCGGUCUUUGGACUCAAAGGCCGCAAGGCCGUCUGAGGAGGAGCCCGCGCCCGAUUAGCUAGUUGGUGAGGUAACGGCUCACCAAGGCUUUGAUCGGUAGCCGGUCU